UACAGAGGUGGCAAGCGUUGUUCGGAUUUAUUGGGCGUAAAGGGUCCGUAGGCGGUUUGAAAAGUCAGAUGUGAAAUCCCACAGCUCAACUGUGGAACUGCAUUUGAAACUUUCAGACUAGAGUAUGAGAGGGGUUAAGGGAAUUCCCGGUGUAAGGGUGAAAUCUGCAGAGAUCGGGAGGAACACCAGUCGCGAAGGCGCUUAACUGGCUCAUUACUGACGCUCAGGGACGAAAGCUAGGGGAGCAAACGGG
This 253-nucleotide ribosomal RNA is filed under the name uncultured bacterium. Its description in RNAcentral is "partial 16S ribosomal RNA". It matches the Rfam family "Bacterial small subunit ribosomal RNA", at positions 524 to 776 of the family's 1533-position model. The record is from RNAcentral.